RNAcentral lists this ribosomal RNA (465 nucleotides) under Vreelandella stevensii. RNAcentral describes it as "partial 16S ribosomal RNA". It matches the Rfam family "Bacterial small subunit ribosomal RNA", at positions 338 to 795 of the family's 1533-position model. The record is from RNAcentral. Lineage: Bacteria; Pseudomonadati; Pseudomonadota; Gammaproteobacteria; Oceanospirillales; Halomonadaceae.
CCUACGGGUGGCUGCAGUGGGGAAUAUUGGACAAUGGGCGAAAGCCUGAUCCAGCCAUGCCGCGUGUGUGAAGAAGGCCUUCGGGUUGUAAAGCACUUUCAGUGGGGAAGAAAGCCUUGGGGCUAAUACCCUCGAGGAAGGACAUCACCCACAGAAGAAGCACCGGCUAACUCCGUGUCAGCAGCCGCGGUAAUACGGAGGGUGCGAGCGUUAAUCGGAAUUACUGGGCGUAAAGCGCGCGUAGGCGGUCUGAUAAGCCGGUUGUGAAAGCCCCGGGCUCAACCUGGGAACGGCAUCCGGAACUGUCAGGCUAGAGUGCAGGAGAGGAAGGUAGAAUUCCCGGUGUAGCGGUGAAAUGCGUAGAGAUCGGGAGGAAUACCAGUGGCGAAGGCGGCCUUCUGGACUGACACUGACGCUGAGGUGCGAAAGCGUGGGUAGCAAACAGGAUUAGAUACCCCGGUAGUC